Molecule: long non-coding RNA, 477 nt
Organism: Aphis gossypii (cotton aphid)
Lineage: Eukaryota; Metazoa; Arthropoda; Insecta; Hemiptera; Aphididae
Exons: 3
Source: RefSeq, a predicted model, not a curated record
GUCAGUUAGUGGUGAAGCGUUGGCAACGUUGGCUUUUAUGUCAUUCAACGUUUUUUACAAUCGAAUUUGCUCUAUGCAUUUACUCGUAUAUCACAUGAAUAUUUUUUUGAACACUAGACCUUUGAUUGCAGUGUAUAUACUAUAUAGGACUACAUUUUGUAAGAAUUAUACCCUGGGAAUUGACAACAAAUCGUUCAUUAUACGAUUCAGUAAAGAGAAACAAAACAAAACACUACGGCUAAAAUUAUCACUAGGAAAUAACAGUAUUUUUCUUUUACUUAUUACUGUAUCACUAUACCAAAUUCGACUCUCAUCCCUUUUGGAAAAAAGGUGAAAUUCUGAUUGCUUCAAUUGGUAAGUUUAAUUUGACUGUCAUUUAAGAUUUAAAAUCACACACUAAAUUGCUAUCAUUAUUAAAAACCGCACAUAUACACAUACACAUACUACUUUUUUUUAUUACAUCGGUAUAGCGUAUGC